AUACGGAGGAUCCGAGCGUUAUCCGGAUUUAUUGGGUUUAAAGGGUGCGCAGGCGGCCAUUUAAGUCAGCGGUUAAAUCGUGGGGCUCAACCCCAUUCUGCCGUUGAUACUGGGUGGCUUGAUUGCGGUCGAGGUUGGCGGAAUUCGUUGUGUAGCGGUGAAAUGCAUAGAUAUGACGAAGAACACCGAUUGCGUAGGCAGCUGACCAGACCGCAAAUGACGCUCAUGCACGAAAGUGCGGGGAUCGAACAGGAUUAGAUACCCUGGUAGUCCGCACAGUAAACGAUGAAUACUUGUUUUCGGCGAUAUAAUGUCGGAGGCAAAGCGAAAGCGAUAAGUAUUCCACCUGGGGAGUACGCCGGCAACGGUGAAACUCAAAUGAAUUGACGAGG
This 392-nucleotide ribosomal RNA is filed under the name uncultured bacterium. Its description in RNAcentral is "partial 16S ribosomal RNA". It matches the Rfam family "Bacterial small subunit ribosomal RNA", at positions 523 to 918 of the family's 1533-position model. The record is from RNAcentral.